UCCAGACUCCUACGGGAGGCAGCAGUGGGGAAUAUUGCACAAUGGGGGAAACCCUGAUGCAGCAACGCCGCGUGAGUGAAGAAGUAUUUCGAUAUGUAAAGCUCUAUCAGCAGGGAAGAAGCAAGACGGUACCUGACUAAGAAGCCCCGGCUAACUACGUGCCAGCAGCCGCGGUAAUACGUAGGGGGCGAGCGUUAUCCGGAUUCACUGGGUGUAAAGGGAGCGUAGACGGCCAUGCAAGCCAGGGGUGAAAGCCCGGGGCCCAACCCCGGGACUGCCCUUGGAACUGCAUGGCUGGAGUGCGGGAGGGGCAGGCGGAAUUCCUGGUGUAGCGGUGAAAUGCGUAGAUAUCAGGAGGAACACCGGCGGCGAAGGCGGCCUGCUGGACUGCGACUGACGUUGAGGCCCGAAAGCGUGGGGAGCAAACAGGAUUAGAUACCCGAGUA
RNAcentral lists this ribosomal RNA (446 nucleotides) under uncultured bacterium. Its description in RNAcentral is "partial 16S ribosomal RNA". It matches the Rfam family "Bacterial small subunit ribosomal RNA", at positions 330 to 792 of the family's 1533-position model. The record is from RNAcentral.